GUAAAUAUAGUUUAAAAAAACAUUAGAUUGUGAAUCUAACAAUAGAAGCUUAUAUCUCCUUAUUUACC
Molecule: transfer RNA, 68 nt
Filed under: Rucervus duvaucelii branderi
Lineage: Eukaryota; Metazoa; Chordata; Mammalia; Artiodactyla; Cervidae
Description: tRNA-His
Rfam family: tRNA
About the family: Transfer RNA (tRNA) molecules are approximately 80 nucleotides in length.
Source: RNAcentral